UAGGCCAAGGUCCGCUGGCUGGGGCGGCUAGUUGUUAACUAGUUUUAUUACGGGAUCGAGGCCCGUUGGUCUAG
Molecule: transfer RNA, 74 nt
Filed under: Cyrtodactylus redimiculus
Lineage: Eukaryota; Metazoa; Chordata; Lepidosauria; Squamata; Gekkonidae
Description: tRNA-Asx
Source: RNAcentral